Molecule: non-coding RNA, 237 nt
Organism: Candidatus Brocadia fulgida
Lineage: Bacteria; Pseudomonadati; Planctomycetota; Candidatus Brocadiia; Candidatus Brocadiales; Candidatus Brocadiaceae
Source: Rfam
AAAGUCCCGUCCGGGGAAUUAUCCGUUCACCCCGGUAGUUCAAGGGAGCGGCGUCUGAGCAAUCAGGGGUCGUAAGUUCCCAAUUGGCAAAACCGCAGGCCGCAGCGCAAGCGAACCUACAAGUAGCCUCGUCAAUACAAAUUGAAGAUGCCGACCCCGUGGACACGUGGGGAAGGCCGAAGAUUGCAGACUCAGGCAACGGAAGGAGUCUGUAAUAUCUUCCGGGGUAGCAGGGGC